Molecule: ribosomal RNA, 440 nt
Filed under: Enterobacter hormaechei
Lineage: Bacteria; Pseudomonadati; Pseudomonadota; Gammaproteobacteria; Enterobacterales; Enterobacteriaceae
Description: bacterial SSU rRNA
Rfam family: Bacterial small subunit ribosomal RNA
Source: RNAcentral
UUGGAGGUUGUGCCCUUGAGGCGUGGCUUCCGGAGCUAACGCGUUAAGUCGACCGCCUGGGGAGUACGGCCGCAAGGUUAAAACUCAAAUGAAUUGACGGGGGCCCGCACAAGCGGUGGAGCAUGUGGUUUAAUUCGAUGCAACGCGAAGAACCUUACCUGGUCUUGACAUCCACAGAACUUUUCAGAGAUGAAUUGGUGCCUUCGGGAACUGUGAGACAGGUGCUGCAUGGCUGUCGUCAGCUCGUGUUGUGAAAUGUUGGGUUAAGUCCCGCAACGAGCGCAACCCUUAUCCUUUGUUGCCAGCGGUCCGGCCGGGAACUCAAAGGAGACUGCCAGUGAUAAACUGGAGGAAGGUGGGGAUGACGUCAAGUCAUCAUGGCCCUUACGACCAGGGCUACACACGUGCUACAAUGGCGCAUACAAAGAGAAGCGACCUCG